This 174-nucleotide small nuclear RNA is filed under the name Varanus komodoensis (Komodo dragon). RNAcentral describes it as "U1 spliceosomal RNA (ENSVKKG00000001833.1)". It matches the Rfam family "U1 spliceosomal RNA". From Rfam's summary of the family: U1 is a small nuclear RNA (snRNA) component of the spliceosome (involved in pre-mRNA splicing). Its 5' end forms complementary base pairs with the 5' splice junction, thus defining the 5' donor site of an intron. Lineage: Eukaryota; Metazoa; Chordata; Lepidosauria; Squamata; Varanidae. The record is from RNAcentral.
CUGCUUAUCCAGCAGGGGAGAAAACAUGAUCACAAAAGUGGCUUUCCUAGGGUGAGCUUCAUUCACUGCACUCUGGUGCCCUGAGCCCUGCGAUUUGUUCCUCUUGGCGUAAUAUAUCGCUUUUAAAUUGUUUUUGGAUUUUCGUGUUUUAGAAAUGUAAUGGUACUUUCCUGU